AGAUGGUGCAGGAUCGCUUUUAAUGGUUGAUCGGUAAGGACUACAAUGGAGUGUACCUGGAAGUAAGGGCGAAGCCAUUGCGCCGAUAUGAUCAGAGCAUAAAUCAUUUUCUUCGUUCUUGAAUAUCGGACUUCGAUGUUAUGGAGUACUUUGCUGGUGUAGUAGACAAGUCAGUGAAUUCGAUUUUUAUCUUUCCGAACGAGUAUCGAACUAACCGCCUCUGUCGAUGUCGCCAAGUAGAG
RNAcentral lists this long non-coding RNA (242 nucleotides) under Elaeis guineensis (African oil palm). Its description in RNAcentral is "long non-coding RNA (EGUI_LNC005511)". The record is from RNAcentral. Lineage: Eukaryota; Viridiplantae; Streptophyta; Magnoliopsida; Arecales; Arecaceae.